RNAcentral lists this unclassified non-coding RNA (158 nucleotides) under uncultured Leohumicola. RNAcentral's name for it is "sequence contains ITS1". Lineage: Eukaryota; Fungi; Ascomycota; Leotiomycetes. The record is from RNAcentral.
CAGAGUUCAUGCCCUUACGGGUAGAUCUCCCACCCUUGAGUACUAUACCUUUGUUGCUUUGGCGGGCCGCUUUGGCUACUGGCCCCGGCUAGUGAGUGCCCGCCAAAGGAUCCUAAAACUCUGAAUAUUAGUGUUGUCUGAGUACUAUAUAAUAGUUA